CCUGAGAAACCCAAAAGAUCGAAUGGGGAGAUUCAUCGUCAGCGAUGCCGGUACCUGUGCGGUUCGCGAUGCUCGUUACUUCGGUAACGCGGCACGCGUCCGCAUGUUUUUCAUCGGCUGGCAUCGUCAACGUGCACUUCUCCCCUAGUAGGACGUCGCGACCCGUUGGGUGUCGGUCUACGGCUCGGGUGGGUGUCUGUCUCGUGUGCGCCUCGCGGCGUUACUGCGGAACAAAUCCCCGGCUGCCCGACCGGCUGCCCGGCGGUACUCGCAAGGUAUCUGGCCGCAAAUAUUCGAACUGCGUCCGGCCCGUCGCAAGCUAGGAAAGUGUUUCCCGAAUGUGCGGAUCUAACGCCGUCAUCGGGCCUUGCCGGCUGUUGGUUGACGGUGUCCUAGGACUGGCUGUAAAAAUUAUGAUACCGGUCGGCGACGCUACUGCUUUGGGUACUUUCAGGA
RNAcentral lists this ribosomal RNA (456 nucleotides) under Megastylus sp. CNC 422410. RNAcentral's name for it is "partial 28S ribosomal RNA". The record is from RNAcentral. Lineage: Eukaryota; Metazoa; Arthropoda; Insecta; Hymenoptera; Ichneumonidae.